GAUUUGUGAGUCUUGUUAAUGAUUUUAUUCUCUGAUGGGCCUUCUUUGCAUAGAGUAGAUUGCAUAAUUUUAUUCUCUACUGGACUUUCCUUGCAUAGAGGAGAUUGCAUGAUUUCAGUAUUCUUAACACCCUCCCACAAAUUAAGCUAUGGAAUGAGGCUUAAUUUGUGCCGAAUAAAGUCAUAUGUUGGCCUAUCGAAG
This 201-nucleotide long non-coding RNA is filed under the name Olea europaea (common olive). RNAcentral's name for it is "long non-coding RNA (OEUR_LNC013821)". Lineage: Eukaryota; Viridiplantae; Streptophyta; Magnoliopsida; Lamiales; Oleaceae. The record is from RNAcentral.